CACGUAGGGUGCAAGCGUUGUUCGGAUUUACUGGGCGUAAAGGGCGCGUAGGCGGUCGUGACAAGUCACUUGUGAAAUCUCCGGGCUUAACUCGGAACGGUCAAGUGAUACUGUCGGACUAGAGUACAGAAGGGGCAACUGGAAUUCUCGGUGUAGCGGUGAAAUGCGUAGAUAUCGAGAGGAACACCUGCGGCGAAGGCGGGUUGCUGGGCUGAUACUGACGCUGAGGCGCGAAAGCCAGGGGAGCGAACGGG
This 254-nucleotide ribosomal RNA is filed under the name uncultured bacterium. RNAcentral's name for it is "partial 16S ribosomal RNA". It matches the Rfam family "Bacterial small subunit ribosomal RNA", at positions 524 to 776 of the family's 1533-position model. The record is from RNAcentral.